Non-coding RNA from Chelonoidis abingdonii (Abingdon island giant tortoise), 1477 nucleotides. The record is from RefSeq and is a predicted model, not a curated record. Lineage: Eukaryota; Metazoa; Chordata; Testudines; Testudinidae.
UGAGAGAGGGGGUGAGGGUUGGCGGGUGGCGCAUGCGCGAGGAGACGGAACCCGGAAGUGGGAGCGGAGCCGCCUUGUCCCGGGAGGUUCCCCCACCUGAAAUCCAGCCCGGGCAUCCCCCACUCACCCCACCCCCUCCCCGCGGGCUCGUGACUGAGAGCGGCUCUGCGGGACCGGACUCCUGGGUUCUGUGUCCGGACCCCGCCCCGCGCGUGACCUUGGGCUGGGGCUGCAGCCGGUUCGCUCCCGGGGGUGCCCGACUCUGUCUCUCAUCGAUCCUCUGAACCAUUUCCCGCAAGACCCAGGGUCUUUGUCUGCCUCGGGUCGCUCGUCCCCCAGCUCCAGCCCAGACACCACCCCCCCACCCCAAAACACGCCCCACUGCUUGGCAAGGCUUUAAUGACCCCGUAGGUGUGGCUAGGAACUCGUUGUUCCGCACGGUUUGGACCUACAGGGUCCCUUCGUUUCUCCGUCCCCCUGUGUGUUUCGUUGCUCUCUGACGGGCAUUGGACCAUCUGUCAUCCUCAAAACUUUCCCCACGCCGUACCCCAAAUUUCUGCCAAAAGGCACCGAAACCAUCCGGAGGUGACUGGUUUAAAUGUAAUUUGCGUUUCAUUUUAAUCUGCCAGAGGGGUUACUCUCUCCACCAUUUGUACUUUACAAGUACAGAAUCAGAUUAAAUUUGCCCCCCAAAUGGAUGUGAUGUAAGAACAAACCUAUACAAAUCUAAGACCACAACAGAUAUUUCUGAGCAAUAACUUAAUUUUCAAUUGUAGUGGAACAGGAUUUUUUGUUAACCAAUAAAUAUUAAUGUACUAUUUGCUACUGAAAGUGCAGCAUUGUACAAAUGAUUUGUGGUGUCUAUAGUUAUGAUUUUGUCUUCUGCAUAUUGCAUCCUCAAGAUUAAAGAUUACUUGCUUGUCUAUUGGGAGCAGGGCCCAGGAGAUUCAAGAUAGUGUAUCUUACAAGAAUACAAGCCAUAUACUCAAGCGAAAGGUCUGGAUCUUACAAAGGUCUCUGAGGCAAGCCCAAAGAAUGCCCUGGAGUGGUGAGGAAACAGGCAGGGAAAUUCAGGGACAGAAGAAGCAGAAGAGGGGGAGAGUUCUAGCAGCUCUAUAGAAUAGUGAACAACUUCUCAGGAAGAACCUGACCAUCACAGGUGAUGCCCAUCAGGGACUCUCAUGGACAGAUGUUGAAAACCCAUGAAGAACAAGUCAGAUGACUGAAACAACAUUUCCAUUCCAUAUUAAACUGUUCAAAGCUAACAGUCAUGCACGUGUUCAAGAGAAAUGCCAAUGUUAAAUUAGAAGUAGAAGAGGGACCAAUAACACCUGAUGAGAUUAAACCAAUUAUCAAAGGCCUCAAACAGAGGAAAGAUCCUGGGGCUGACAGAAUUGAAGCAGAAGUACUAAAGGCAGGAAGCGAAAUUCUGAUUCAGCAGUUAACAAAUCAUUCAGUAUUGCUUAAUAAAAAAUGG